RNAcentral lists this ribosomal RNA (253 nucleotides) under uncultured bacterium. RNAcentral's name for it is "partial 16S ribosomal RNA". It matches the Rfam family "Bacterial small subunit ribosomal RNA", at positions 524 to 776 of the family's 1533-position model. The record is from RNAcentral.
UACGGGGGGGGCAAGCGUUGUUCGGAAUUACUGGGCGUAAAGGGCUCGUAGGCGGCCAACUAAGUCAGACGUGAAAUCCCUCGGCUUAACCGGGGAACUGCGUCUGAUACUGGAUGGCUUGGAUCCGGGAGAGGGAUGCGGAAUUCCAGGUGUAGCGGUGAAAUGCGUAGAUAUCUGGAGGAACACCGGUGGCGAAGGCGGCAUCCUGGACCAACACUGACGCUGAGGAGCGAAAGCCAGGGGAGCAAACGGG